Molecule: ribosomal RNA, 252 nt
Filed under: uncultured bacterium
Lineage: Bacteria
Description: partial 16S ribosomal RNA
Rfam family: Bacterial small subunit ribosomal RNA
Source: RNAcentral
UACGAAGGGGGCUAGCGUUGUUCGGAAUUACUGGGCGUAAAGCGCGCGCAGGCGGUCUUCCAAGUCAGUGGUGAAAGCCCGGAGCUCAACUCCGGAAAUGCCAUUGAAACUGUAAGACUUGAGGAUGAGAGAGGUGAGUGGAAUUCCAGUGUAGCGGUGAAAUGCGUAGAUAUCGGGAGGAACACCUGUGGCGAAAGCGGCGCACUGGACCAUAACUGACGCUGAUGCGCGAAAGCUAGGGGAGCAAACAGG